UGAUCAACUUACAAUACAUUUGUAACAAUGAAAGUUAUGUAAACCCCAAGUCCAUCUAUCAAUAUCUUUACAAAAGGAAGACUAUACCAACUCAAGGGUUAAAGGUUAAUGUUUUGAUUAAAUGAUUAAGUUAUACAAGUUAGAAAUAUCAAUAUAGAAUAUGAACAAGUUAACAAUAAGGGUUAGUGGGUUAGUAUAAAAAUAAUAACAAAAUCAAAAAAAUGAAACCAUAAGU
Molecule: long non-coding RNA, 235 nt
Filed under: Lathyrus oleraceus (garden pea)
Lineage: Eukaryota; Viridiplantae; Streptophyta; Magnoliopsida; Fabales; Fabaceae
Description: Pisum sativum (pea) long non-coding RNA (PSAT_LNC026706)
Source: RNAcentral